This 397-nucleotide ribosomal RNA is filed under the name uncultured bacterium. RNAcentral's name for it is "partial 16S ribosomal RNA". It matches the Rfam family "Bacterial small subunit ribosomal RNA", at positions 338 to 732 of the family's 1533-position model. The record is from RNAcentral.
CCUACGGGUGGCAGCAGUGAGGAAUAUUGGUCAAUGGCCGGAAGCCUGAACCAGCCAAGCCGCGUGAAGGACGAAUGCGCUAAGGAUUGUAAACUUCUUUUGUAAAGGGACAAAAUGAGGCUCGAGUGCCUGUCCGAGGGUACUUGAUGAAAAAGGAUCGGCUAACUCCGUGCCAGCAGCCGCGGUAAUACGGAGGAUCCGAGCGUUAUCCGGAUUUAUUGGGUUUAAAGGGAGCGUAGGUGGGCUGUUAAGUCAGUGGUGAAAGUCUGGGGCUCAACCGCCGGAGUGCCGUUGAAACUGGCUGUCUUGAGAUGUGGUGAGGUAGGCGGAAUGCGCAGUGUAGCGGGGAAAUGCUUAGAUAUCACGCAGAACUCCGAUUGCGAAGGCAGCCUACCAG